Molecule: ribosomal RNA, 448 nt
Filed under: uncultured bacterium
Lineage: Bacteria
Description: bacterial SSU rRNA
Rfam family: Bacterial small subunit ribosomal RNA
Source: RNAcentral
UCCAGACUCCUACGGGAGGCAGCAGUGGGGAAUAUUGCACAAUGGGGGAAACCCUGAUGCAGCGACGCCGCGUGGGUGACGAAGUAUUUCGGUAUGUAAAGCCCUCUCAGCAGGGAAGAAGAUGACAGUACCUGACCAAGAAGCCCCGGCUAACUACGUGCCAGCAGCCGCGGUAAUACGUAGGGGGCAAGCGUUAUCCGGAUUUACUGGGUGUAAAGGGAGCGUAGGUGGCAUGGCAAGCCAGAAGUGAAAACCCGGGGCUUAACCCCGCGGAUUGCUUUUGGAACUGUCAGGCUGGAGUGCAGGAGGGGCAGGCGGAAUUCCUGGUGUAGCGGUGAAAUGCGUAGAUAUCAGGAGGAACACCGGUGGCGAAGGCGGCUUACUGGACUGUAACUGACGUUGAGGCUCGAAAGCGUGGGGAGCAAACAGGAUUAGAUACCCCAGUACG